Long non-coding RNA from Apis dorsata (giant honeybee), 189 nucleotides. RefSeq lists it as uncharacterized. Lineage: Eukaryota; Metazoa; Arthropoda; Insecta; Hymenoptera; Apidae. The record is from RefSeq and is a predicted model, not a curated record. The transcript has 2 exons.
GUCUCAGGAACUGCAACCUUUUGCUUGCUGUGCAUCGCGAUCUAGGUGGCUGUGGUCGGAGUCUCCUGAAUGGCUAAGGUUUGUGAAGAAGGCGCUGAUGAAGAUGUUGAGUCACCUGCAAUUAUAGAAUUAUUUUUAAUAAACAUUUCAUCUCUCUCAUCAGAAAAGAUCCUGCAUCAAAACAUAUUC